This 440-nucleotide ribosomal RNA is filed under the name uncultured bacterium. Its description in RNAcentral is "bacterial SSU rRNA". It matches the Rfam family "Bacterial small subunit ribosomal RNA", at positions 338 to 795 of the family's 1533-position model. The record is from RNAcentral.
CCUACGGGCUGCAGCAGUGGGGAAUAUUGGACAAUGGGCGAAAGCCUGACCCAGCAAUGCCGCGUGUGUGAAGAAGGUCCUCGGAUUGUAAGGCACUUUCGACGGGGACGAUGAUGACGGUACCCGUAGAAGAAGCCCCGGCUAACUUCGUGCCAGCAGCCGCGGUAAUACGAAGGGGGCUAGCGUUGCUCGGGAUGACUGGGCGUAAAGGGCGCGUAGGCGGUUUAUGCAGUCAGAUGUGAAAUCCCCGGGCUUAACCUGGGAACUGCAUUUGAGACGCAUAGACUAGAGGUCGAGAGAGGGUUGUGGAAUUCCCAGUGUAGAGGUGAAAUUCGUAGAUAUUGGGAAGAACACCGGUGGCGAAGGCGGCAACCUGGCUCGAUACUGACGCUCAGAUGCGAAAGCGUGGGGAGCAAACAGGAUUAGAUACCCUCGUAGUC